UGCGGAGUAAAGCAGAUGGUUAGCUUACCAGCCUCAUAAGCUGGAUGUCGCGGGUUCGAGUCCCGCCUCCGCACCCA
This 77-nucleotide transfer RNA is filed under the name Caudoviricetes sp. RNAcentral describes it as "tRNA-Met". It matches the Rfam family "tRNA". Rfam says of the family: Transfer RNA (tRNA) molecules are approximately 80 nucleotides in length. Their secondary structure includes four short double-helical elements and three loops (D, anti-codon, and T loops). Further hydrogen bonds mediate the characteristic L-shaped molecular structure. tRNAs have two regions of fundamental functional importance: the anti-codon, which is responsible for specific mRNA codon recognition, and the 3' end, to which the tRNAs corresponding amino acid is attached (by aminoacyl-tRNA synthetases). tRNAs cope with the degeneracy of the genetic code in two manners: having more than one tRNA (with a specific anti-codon) for a particular amino acid; and 'wobble' base-pairing, i.e. permitting non-standard base-pairing at the 3rd anti-codon position. Lineage: Duplodnaviria; Heunggongvirae; Uroviricota; Caudoviricetes. The record is from RNAcentral.